UAAAGGGCAUCUAGGCGGCCUGACAAGUMGGGGUGAAAACCUGCGGCUCAACCGCAGGCCUGCCUUUGAAACUGUGAGGCUGGAGUACCGGAGAGGUGGACGGAACUGCACGAGUAGAGGUGAAAUUCGUAGAUAUGUGCAGGAAUGCCGAUGAUGAAGAUAGUUCACUGGACGGUAACUGACGCUGAAGUGCGAAAGCCGGGGGAGCAAACAGGAUUAGAUACCCUGGUAGUCCCGGCUGUAAACGAUGAUUACUGGGUGUGGGCAGGAAGACUGUCUGUGCCGAAGCGAAUGCGAUAAGUAAUCCGCCUGGGGAGUACGGCCGCAAGGCUGAAACUCAAAGGAAUUGACGGGGGCCCGCACAAGCGGUGGAGCAUGUGGUUUAAUUCGAAGCAACGCGAAGAACCUUACCAGGUCUUGACAUCCCUCUGACCGCUCUAGAGAUAGAGUUUUCCUUCGGGACAGAGGUGACAGGUGGUGCAUGGUUGUCGUCAGCUCGUGUCGUGAG
This 508-nucleotide ribosomal RNA is filed under the name uncultured bacterium. RNAcentral describes it as "bacterial SSU rRNA". It matches the Rfam family "Bacterial small subunit ribosomal RNA", at positions 561 to 1071 of the family's 1533-position model. The record is from RNAcentral.